UACGGAGGGUGCAAGCGUUACUCGGAAUCACUGGGCGUAAAGCGCGCGCAGGCGGCUAUUUAAGUUGGAUGUGAAAGCCUAUGGCUCAACCAUAGAACUGCAUCCAAAACUAUUUAGCUAGAGUGUGGGAGAGGAAGAUGGAAUUAGUUGUGUAGGGGUAAAAUCCGUAGAGAUAACUAGGAAUACCAAAAGCGAAGGCAAUCUUCUGGAACACUACUGACGCUGAGGCGCGAAAGCGUGGGGAGCAAACAGGAGUAGAUACCCUAGUAGUCC
RNAcentral lists this ribosomal RNA (273 nucleotides) under uncultured bacterium. RNAcentral's name for it is "partial 16S ribosomal RNA". It matches the Rfam family "Bacterial small subunit ribosomal RNA", at positions 524 to 796 of the family's 1533-position model. The record is from RNAcentral.